CCCAUUUUAUUUUUGUGAGAAAAUUGCCUCGACAUUCUCCGCACUCGAAAAUCUUCGCUUAGCUGAGCCGAAUAUCGAGGUGAACUCCGAGGCUUGCGCGCCGUCUUCGACAACUGGUGGAUAUCAAAAUGUGGUUCAAAAGCCGUGCUUUAAAACACAACAUCCUGUCUAAAAGACAGUGUUUUACAGGGGUAUCAUUGACUCCCAAGGAAUAUGCAGAUACUUCAAAGGGCCUUCAACGCGAGAAAACUGCCAAUAACUACUGUCCUGAGUGUGGAAUCAGUCUGUUGGAAUGUGCAAUACGAAACCAGCAGACUGAUAUGAUUGAGUUGUUGCUUAAGAAUGGAGCUGAAAUUUUUCGAGAUGAUGACAUUGGAAGAGGCAUUGAGACAAUGGAUGCCUUAGUUAAGCUUGGUUAUAAAGAAGUUGAAGGCGAGUUUCUGUACACUUCAAGCUCUAUGGGGAGCUUCAACGUUUGGGCUACCUUUUCAGUCGAAAAUCGUGGGAUUGCUAUAUUUUAUGGUGGCAAGAGUCGAAUGAAUGUCCAGGGCAAGGAACCAGAUGUGUAUUUCGCAUGGGGCAAGGCUACUUUCAAACGGGAAGGAUCUGUGUUACAGAUCGAAGAUGGAUUGGAGACUUUCUUGCUGGAACCAGCAGAACCUCCAUAUUUGGGUAGCAAAGAGAUAUUUAACUGGUUUUGCAACCAGUUAAAUGAGGCUAUUGGUUUGGGUUCUGUGGUGGAUGAUGGCUUUGAUCUCUCGGAUAUAGAGAUGGCACUCAAAGCUUCACUGGACCAUUUUGGACAGCCAUCUUCACAGCCUUCAUUGGUGAUUAGUGACUUCUCACUAAUAGAGAGAGGAAUGAAAAGAUUCAGCAUCAGAACAUGCGGUGUCCCUUCUGCCGUGAGGUGGUGAAGAACUUUGCAAUUCCUAGGAUUUGAUUGCGAAAGGAAGAUAGCUUUUGAUGGGAAGGUUCGAAGAAAGAAAGGAAAUAUUUGGGAUAGAUGGAAAAGAGAGACGAGGUGCAGAUGGAUCAAGCAGCAUUUUGGAGGAAGCUGUAUUUUGCUAUUGAUGAUGAUGAAUUUGUUUGGUGUUGACUGUGGAGAUUUACUGCAUUUGGAUUUUAUUGAAAUAGGUACUCUUCCAGAUUAAAAUGAGAGUUGGGUUUGAAUUCCAACCCUCUUGAUUGAUGAGAGAGCGAGCAUACGCUUCUAACUGGUUGUAGUAUUUUGGUAGAUUAAAGUUAGAAUGCUACUAAGAAGCAUGAUGAUUAGCACGGAAAAUAUGAGAUGUAUAAGAACCACAGCUAUAAUGUGACAUGUAUAAGAGCCACAGCUAUAAUAUGACGUAUAUAAGAACCACAGCUAUAAGCAUUUCUUUCUUUUUUUGGAAAUAAAGG
This is an RNA transcript of Rosa chinensis, 1398 nucleotides long. RefSeq lists it as uncharacterized. The record is from RefSeq and is a predicted model, not a curated record. NCBI's taxonomy places the organism in Eukaryota, Viridiplantae, Streptophyta, Magnoliopsida, Rosales, Rosaceae. The transcript is spliced from 9 exons.